Non-coding RNA from Sus scrofa (pig), 9319 nucleotides. The record is from RefSeq and is a predicted model, not a curated record. Lineage: Eukaryota; Metazoa; Chordata; Mammalia; Artiodactyla; Suidae.
CGGACACGUCGGCGGCGCGGCGGCCGCGGCGACCGGAGCCGGAUGUGCCAAGAUGGCUGCUGCGGCUGCCGUGUCUGCGCUCGUUUCAACCGUCGGGUCGUCUUCCGCCGGUGGCUCCUGAGGGGCCGGCGCCGGGAGUCGCCGCGGGGCCGGGCGGGAGCCGGCGGGAGCCCCGGCCGCUCUGCGGCGCUCGGUUCCAAUUAAGGAAACCUUGAAUCCUGCUCCCUUCCUUCCGUGAGCAGCGCCUAACCCUGCAAGGGCUCAGCCAUGCAGCCGCCGCCCCAGGCUCUCCCUUCGGGCGUGGUCGGGCCGCCGCCUGCUGGGAGCCCGCAGAGCUCGCUGUGGUCUAGCAGCCCAUACAGGAGACAGGCCGGCAGUAACGCCCCAGUGGCCCCGAUACCUCGCCCGCCGCAGCCGGUGACGGAUCCCUUUGCUUUCAGUAGGCAGGCGCUCCAGAGUCCAUCGCUGGGCAGUUCGUCGAAAAGCAGCCUGCCCGCUUUGCAAGGCCCAGCCCAGCCGGCGUUUCUUCAGCGCACUGGCCUGCCUGUGCCUCCCACGAAUGUCGGGGGGAGCUCCCAGGGACCCUGCGAGCCUCUGCCAGGGCCUCUGUCACAGCCCAGGGCGGAUGCCGGCCCGUUUGCUGGUGUGUCGACUCCCUCAGCACCGCCUGGGCCCGAGAGGAACAGGAGUGCCGACGCCGCGCCCGGCCUGGAUCCAGAAGUUCAGGCACUGCCGUACCUUCCGCAGUACAUUCCAGGGGCGGCGCCCAGCAGUCCUCCUGGGGGCCGUCCCCAGGGCAGCCAGCCCCGGCCCGAUGCCCCCCUCAGUAGGCCGGGCCUGCAUGAUGGGGCCAGGGCCCUAGCUGCCUCCCCUCUUUUCCCUCAGCCGUGUCAGCAGAUGCCAGGGCAGUGGGGGCCAGGGCAGCAGGGGCCAGGGCAGUGGGGGCCAGGGCAGGGAGGCCCUCUGCCUGCAGGUCAGCAUUACCGGCCCUGCCCGGAAGGACCUGUUCAGAAUGCGGUGCCCCACACCUCCAGUGUUGCCCCCUUUCCUGGCCCACCCAGCCUGGGUCAGGGUCCUGGCCACGGGCAGCCCAGCCCCCUGGCGUCUCUACCGGGACCGUCGCCUGGUGACGGAAGAAACGACGCAACCUCGCUGCACGGUGGACGCCGUACAGCAAAUAGCUUUGAUCCCGAGGAUGCGUUCGGGCAGACUCCCGGAGCCGGGAAUGCUUGGGCGAGCCAGGCCUUCUGGUCCAGUCCAGGACGGAGAAAAGAAGAGCAGCUGCCAGACCUCGCGCUUGUUAAUCCUCUCGCUCAGGGAAGUAGCCCAGAAAGCCGUCUGCACUCGCCGCUGGGGGCCGGGCGUGGCUGGGCCCUGCCGGAAGCAGGCUCGGGAGCCCCCCCCAGGUUUCUCAGAGGCCGAGAGACAGAGAACGAAGAGAACCUCUCAUCCGCACCAGCAGGCUCUGCUGGUCAGUCCGACGUGGACGGCGUCUCCCCGGGCCCGGGCCACAUGGCAGCGGGAGGUGGUUACCAGGCCUUUCGAGGAGGCGCCCACAGCGAGCCCGCACCGCAGGGAGGAGACGCGAAGCCCUACUUUGCUCAGUCCACCAGCAUCCGCCACGAUGACCCGGCUCCUAAAGGUGCCGCUGCCACCGAAUUAUGGGGCGACACAGCGUGUGCGGGGACUCAGAGCGCGGGCAGCUCGCAGUAUGAGAAUGUGGAGAACCUGGAGUUUGUUCAGAACCAAGAGGUUCCGCCCAGUGAGCCCCCGAGCCUGGACCCUUCCUCCCUGAGUGAUCAGCUCCGGUACGGGCCCCCUCCCGGGCCGGCCGUCCCGAGGUUCAGUGCUGGGGGCCACGCUGGAGGCGGCGGCCCAAACCUCGAGGCCCUGGAUGCUGUGGCGCGUCCUGUGCGGUCUGACAGCGUGUCCUCCAGCUACAGCAGCAAGAGCCACCGGGGUCCUCCAGGGGUGGCCAGGCCCCUGGACGCGGGGGGCACCUUCAUUCAGCAGGAGGUCGGGAAACCUGAAGAUGAGGCGCCAGGGAGGUUUUUUAAGCAAAUCGAUUCCUCUCCUGUCGGAGGCGAGACAGAUGGGACCACGGUGAGCCAGAGCUACCGCAGCAGCCUGCCCCAGCCCUCGACCCCGAGCCCCCCGAAACCUACAGGAACGUUUCAGACGAGUGCAAAUAGUUCUUUUGAGCCAGUGAAAUCCCACCUGGUCGGAGUAAAGCCGGUCGAGGCAGAUCGUGCCAACGUGGUGGGUGAAGUGAGGGGGCCCCGCGCCCACCCGAAGCAGCACCGACUGGCCACUGCGGCGCCCGCCGCCUCCCCCGGCAACCUGGAGCAGCCGCCCGACAACCUGGAGACCCUCUUCCUGCAGCCGCCGGGCCACGCACCGCCCCUCCCCGCGCCUGCGGAAGCCGGCCCGGGGCCUCUGCGCGCCGGGGGGCUGCCCCCGGAGCCUGCGCUUCCAACACCCGAGAAAAGGCCCUCAACCAGGGCCCAGGGCGCCGUGAAGUGCGAGAGCCCAGCGACGACUCUCUGGGCCCAGAACGAGCUGCCGGAUUUUGGGGGCAACGUCCUUCUGGCCCCCGCGGCUCCUGCGCUUCAGGUCCCCGCAAAGCCCCAGCCCUCCGAGGUGAUCCAGCCCCCGGAUGAGGGGGCGUCCGGGCCGCAGUCCCAGCAGCCCGGCCCCGGCCCCGGCGUGCAGAGUGGGGCCGGCAUCGGUGCUUCUGAGAACCUGGAGAACCCUCCGCAGCUGGGCGCCGACGAGGCCCUCCCGGCCCAGGCGGGUCCCGCGUACGCCAGUCUGCUGUCCGCCCCGCCCGCCGAGGCUCUGCAGCAUCAGCCGGUCCUGAUCGCCCAGCCCGAUCGCAGCUACAGUCUGGCUCAGCCCAUUAAUUUCUCUGUGUCCUUGUCGGGUCCUCCCGAGAGGCCUCAGCCCUGGAGGGACCCUGUGGCGGGAGACAAGCCCACAGCCGGCAGCCGGGCUCUGGGGGGCGAUCCUGGAGAGCGGGCUCCUCCGUCUGGGGCGCCAGCCGGCACGCUUGUCUGCUCGCCCCUGCCUAACCAGCUCGCCCAGAGUCACUUCCCACAGGGGCCUGGUGCCUCCGAAGCAGCGUCUCACCAGCCCGCUCACUUGCUGGUUCAGCCACUGUCUCAUCCGUUUCCAAAGAACACGCUUCCAGAAAGUCCCAAGGUUCCUCCUGCGGAGACCCUCCUGCCCGAGGCAGCGGACGGUCCCGCCGGCAGCACCGGCGUGAUGUUGGUGCCGCCUGCAGACAGCGCCUCGGUGUCCGAGAGUCACAAGGCGGGCCCCGCCGGUGGCCGGGGGAGCGCUCCAGGGGCCCUCGACUCUCCCCUGAGUCGGCCUCUGGACGCCCCCCUGGGCGCGUACAGCCCCGCCCAGCCCGAUGGCCCUGCUUCUUGUCAGCAAAGUGGCGCCGGUCAUCCCAGGCCGCCCGGGCCGGGGCCACGCAGCCCAGACCACUUCUACCAGCAGGUGACCUCGGACGCCCCCUCACAGCCUCCAAAUCCAGGGAGCCCGCCGGCGCUUGGGCAGCCCCCAAACCCAGCCCGGCCACCUGCGAGUCCGGCUCCGGCCGACGUGGGCCCGCAGCCGCCGCCGCCCCGGCCGCCUCGCUCCUCCAGCGCAUCCGUCGUGUCCAGCAGCUCGAGCCAGGCGGCUGCCCGCUCAGACCCGCAGUGGCUGCCGCCUCCGCCCCCAGACUUGACGUCGCACUACUACUUCCGGUCGCUGUACGAGGGCUUCCCGCCCCCGUACGCCUGCCCCUACCCGCUGGAUCCUGGCGCAGCCCCCCACUACCAGCAGGACCUCUACAGCCUCUACGAUCCCCGGUACAGGGCCUACGACAGCGCUGCCUACGCCGAGAGCUACCGCUACCCCGAGCCCGAGCGGCCCAGCUCCCGGGCCAGCCACUGCUCCGACCGGCCAGCUGCCAGGCAGGGGUAUCCUGAAGGCUACUAUCAUUCCAGAGGCGGCUGGAGCAGUCAGAGCGACUACUACGCAAACUAUUACUCGAGCCAGUACGACUACGGAGACCCAGGCCGCUGGGAUCGGUACCACUACGGCCCCCGAGUCCGGGAUCCCCGCACCUACGACCGGAGGUAUUGGUACGAAGCCGAGUACGAGGCCUACAGGAGAGAAAACCAUGCUUAUGGUGACAGGCCCGAGAAGUACGACGACCAGUGGAGGUACGACCCCCGCUUUGCCGGCAGCUUCGACGACGAGCCCGAGCCGCCCCGGGACCCGUACGGGGAGGAGGCGGACCGGCGCAGCGCGCACAGCGAGCCCUCGGCGCCCAGCCUGCGCAGCCGCCGCAGCAGCUUCAGCUCCCACUCCCACCAGAGCCAGGUCUACAGGGCCCACGACGCGGCCACUGGGCCCUACGAGGCGCCGCCUCCGCCCGGCUCCUUCCACGGCGACUACGCCUACGGCACCUACAGCGGCCCGGGCUUCCCCGAGUUCGGCUACGCCGCCGACGCCACCUGGCCCUCGGUGGAAGCAGCUCCGUCGAGACCAACUUCCCCUGAGAAGUUCUCGGUGCCGCAUGUCUGUGCCAGGUUUGGUCCUGGGGGCCAGCUUCUUAAAGUGAUUCCAAACCUGCCUUCAGAAGGCCAGCCUGCCCUGGUCGAAGUUCACAGCAUGGAGAUCCUGCUGCAGCACACGCCGGAGCAGGAGGAGAUGCGGGCUUUCCCGGGACCUCUCGGCAAAGAUGACACCCAUAAAGUGGAUGUUAUUAAUUUUGCACAGAACAAAGCUACAAAAUGUUUGCAGAAUGAACAUUUAAUUGACAAAGAGUCUGCAAGUCUCCUUUGGAGUUUCAUUGUCCUGUUAUGCAGGCAGAACGGGACGGUGGUGGGCACAGACGUCGCGGAACUGUUGUUACGCGACCACAGGACCGUGUGGCUUCCUGGGAAGUCGCCCGAUGAGGCCAACCUGAUUGAUUUCACCAACGAGGCCGUGGAGCAGGUGGAGGAGGAGGAGUCCGGGGAGGCCCAGCUCUCAUUUCUCACAGACAGUCAGGCCGCCAGCAGCCUGGAGAAGGAGACGGAGAGGUUCAGGGAGCUGCUCCUCUACGGCCGGAAGAAGGAUGCCUUAGAGUCCGCGAUGAAGAGCGGCUUGUGGGGUCACGCCCUGCUGCUGGCCAGUAAGAUGGACAGCCGGACACACGCCCGAGUCAUGACCAGGUUCGCCAACAGCCUCCCGAUCAACGACCCCCUGCAGACGGUCUACCAGCUGAUGUCAGGGCGGAUGCCGGCCGCGUCCACGUGCUGCGGAGAUGAGAAGUGGGGGGAUUGGAGGCCCCAUCUGGCCAUGGUGCUGUCCAACCUGAACAACAACGUGGACGUGGAGUCCAGGACGAUGGCCACCAUGGGUGACACGCUGGCCUCCAAGGGUCUCCUGGACGCCGCCCACUUUUGCUACCUCAUGGCCCAGGUUGGAUUUGGGGUCUAUACCAAGAAAACCACAAAACUUGUCUUAAUCGGAUCCAACCACAGUUUGCCGUUUUUCAAGUUUGCGACCAACGAAGCCAUUCAGAGGACAGAGGCCUACGAGUACGCCCAGUCCCUGGGGACACAGGCCUGCUCCUUACCCAGCUUCCAGGUGUUCAAGUUCAUCUACUCCUGCCGCCUGGCCGAGAUGGGGCUGGCCACGCAGGCCUUCCAUUACUGCGAGCUGAUCGCCAAGAGCAUCCUGGCGCAGCCCCACGGACACUCCCCGGUGCUGGUCAGCCAGCUGGUCCAGGUCGCCUCCCAGCUGCGCCUCUUUGACCCUCAGCUGAAAGAGAAGCCAGAGGAGGAGGCGCUGGCGGAACCCGCCUGGCUGGUGCGGCUGCAGCGCUUGGAGAAGCAGGCCAAGGAGGGCACCGUGGCCUGGAGUCAGGACGGGGCCUUCCCGCAGUGCGGUCCCAGCUCACCCAGCUCCGAGGCGGGGCCCUGCGAUGGUCCAGCAGUCGCCCAGCCAGCAGAUCUGGGCACUGCCAACCCUCUGCUGGCACCCCCUGUGCCCGGUGCGGAGCACUUAAGCCAGGACGUGCGGCUGAUGCCCUCCGCUCCGCUGUUGCUCCCCGAGGGCCCGCUGGCUGUCCCCGCCAAGGGGCCAGUGUUCCCGGUGCCGCCUGCCCUGGGCCCUGCUGAGCUGGGGCCUGGCUGCGGGCCCUCGGGCUGUGCACUGGGCUUUCCAGAGCCCCCGGGACCUGACCCUGCAGCUCUGUACCCAGGGCCCGGCCAGCCGCCUGCCGCACCGUCUCUCCAGGAGGCCCGCAGCCAGGACCCAGGAGGGACGCCGCAGGGGGCGCCCGGGAGAAGCGCGUUUCCAGAGCUGGAAGAGGAUUCCGGUGGGACGUUCGCUGCCGUGGGCUCCCCGAGGAUGUCGCGGGAUUCCGGGGUGUCUCCAGGCUGGGGGAGUGCCAGCGCGGGUGCCCUGCAGCCACCUCCGCCUGUGACCUCCACGCCCGAAGUGAAGAGAGCUGGCCCGGCGGCCAAGGAGCCCAGGGAGCCUAAGAAGAGCGGCGAGUCCUGGUUCUCCCGCUGGCUGCCGGUGAAGAAGAGGACGGAGGCGUACUUGCCCGACGACAAAAACAAGUCGAUCGUCUGGGAUGAGAAGAGGAACCGGUGGGUGGAUGUCAACGAGCCGGAGGAGGAGAAGAAGCCUCCGCCCCCGCCUCCCACGGCGCUUCCCAAGGCUGCGCAGGCCGCCCACACCGCUCCCGGAGGGCCCCCCAGGGCCUCUGUGAACGUGUUCUCUAGAAAAGCAGCCGGAACCCGAGCGCGCUACGUGGACGUCCUGAACCCCGGGGGGCCCCAGCGGAGCGAGCCGGCCCUGGCUCCCGCCGAGCUCUUCGCUCCUCUCGCCCCGCUCCCGAUGCCCGCGCACCUGUUGGGACCAAACCCAGACACAGAGGAGGCGCCGCCUGCAGAGGGGACCAGCAGGGAAGGGCCGUUGCCAGCGGGGGCCCCCGCCACCCCAGAGCCGGCCUCGGAACCCAAGGUGAGCGGGCGGCAGCCGGAGGGAGGCCACGGCACGGGUCUGCCUCCCUCACCCAAGCGUCCGCCCAGCCCUGCGCGCGUGCAGAUCCGCGUUCACGUGUGCGCGGAGCGCCGCGCCUCCUCCAGAGCGUCGUCCGGGUACCUGUCCACAGCCGGGGCGCGCCGUGGGGUCACGUUGUCUUGCUGGAAGCAGACGGCGGAGGGAGGUGCUCUGCGUGAUCGAGACGUGUUCGUGAAGCGCAGGCGCUCGGAGUCUGGUCUCUGAGGCUGGGGGGACCGGGCUCGGCCCUGGGUCUCCAUUAGUGAAAGCUGCUUCCACGUGGGGACACCUUAACCUCCCCGCGCCUCAGGGUCCUGCUCUGUGCGCGGGAGGAGAGCAGCAGGUGCAGGAUGCCGCGGGGCCCACAGGAGGCCCUCGGAAGGGACGCGCCUUCUGCUGGGGGCCGCGGGACGCACGGCUGCGCCCCCGACUGCAGAACCCUCUCUCCCCGCGGCCUUGGGGGGGCGCACGGGGGAGCAGGCCAUCCACACCCGCGGGAGGCGCCGAGUCCCUGGGCAGCUGCCGGUUGCUGCCUUUCUGAUUCUUCCCGGCAGGUGUUAAGCUCUGCAGCUUUGCUCCCGGGCCCGGCACCCCCACCCUCUGGAGCGGACGGUCCCCAGGGAGGAGAGGCUCCCGGUGACCUCGCCCCUGCAGGGGGCCCCCCCGGGGCAGCAGUGCCCUUCUACAACCCGGCUCAGUUCGCCCACGCCUCGGCCGCCUCGGGAAGUUCACGGACCGGGAGGAUUAGCCAGAGGAAGUACCCGGCACUGAGCUAGGCCCGUCGCUGCUCUGGACUGGCAUCCGGAGCCCUGAGGGGGUGACGGCCCACCAGGAGCUCAGGCCGAUGGCCUGCGACCUCCCGUCUGCCCCCACUGGACGUGGCCGGCAGUCAGAAAUCCCCUCGUGUCUCUUCCCCGCCGGUCUCUGUGAAGACGGGCAGCGCGCCUUCCUCAGCUUGAAGAUGCUGGAUGAAGAGGGACUCUGGCGUGGGGUCUUUGACCUAAAGGAGUGACACGAGGCCCCAGCCCCUUGGUCGCCUGAAGGUGUUACCACCAGGGACGCCGGAGGCCUCUUGGCCGCGGGGGGCUCUGCUGUUCGGUAACUAAGGCACCUCUCACGACCUAACAGCGAGUUAGUGCCAGGCAACCCCAGGGGCCUUGAAGGGGUUGGAAGGAAACGGUGAAGCUUCGACUCAAGAGAAAGGCAGAUGCCCGCUUGGCGCCCAGAGGCGGUUUGCUCCCUGCCUCACCACUCUUGAGCCUGGAAGCCGCUGUGGGUUAACUCAGCAACAGUUCCGUUGGGUUUUGAGAGAGGCCCUGGCUACCGAAGCCCUUGUCUCCUGUGGCAAAGCCGUGUCCAGCUCUGCCUAGUCUCGUGAGGGCUCCCGCACCCGGAGGACGGGGCCUGCCGUCCAAGGCGGUGGUGCCAGUGCGGAAGAGGGCCCCGGAGUCUUGACCCACACUGACCCGUCAGCCGACGGCACAGCCGUGGCGUGUGGGUUGGGUUGGCCUUCCGAGUAGUGAGCUGCGGGUCGACCCGCUCUCUGCAGACGGGCCCUGCCGAGUUUCCUCCGGGCUGGUUUCCGCAGUACCAGCCAGUGGGCUUCCUCCCGCCCGGGUACCUCGCCGAAGGAGUGGGCAACAGCGCCAAGAAAGCGGCUAAAAGGACCUCUCUUCGGAACCUCUGGCAUCUGGUGUCUCUGCCCUUCGUUCUUCGCACACUGAGACCUUCCGUGGCUGACGUGCCGGCUCAGCCCCGUGAAACCGCGAGGAAGACUCCCAGGGACUCCACGCUUCCCGGCUUCACCGACUGUUCUCAAGACUCUUCACAUUCACAUUAAGCCUAAAGGGACUGAGAAGGAUUUACGUAUUUAUACGAAUCAUUAGGAAGUAGUCUCUCGACCGCGGGGGAUGCAGCUGGUCGGUAUUUUAAUCCACGUGGGCUCCUGUGCACCUGGGGUCUGCACAAGCCCUUCGGGUUCGCUUGAUCCCGAGGAAAGACCCACAACGGUUUCCAGAAUGUUUCACGGGGUGUCCCCUUGGGAGAGGCCGACCUGUAGACGGGCCGUCGGGAGUCGCAGUCUCCUGUCCGCUGCGAUUCCUGGGACCCGAGACCCGCCUGGCGCUGUUGGCUUCCUGGGCAGCCCACCCAUUGUUCUCCGUGUUGACUGCCAGCGACUUUUGAUUCAAGACGCUUCCUCCUAGGCGGGAGCUGCUAUUUUUCCUAAAUGCAAAUUGUUAAAUAAAAUAUUUUGCGCUCUCAA